RNAcentral lists this ribosomal RNA (497 nucleotides) under uncultured bacterium. RNAcentral describes it as "partial 16S ribosomal RNA". It matches the Rfam family "Bacterial small subunit ribosomal RNA", at positions 28 to 507 of the family's 1533-position model. The record is from RNAcentral.
GAUGAACGCUGGCGGCGUGCCUAAUACAUGCAAGUCGAGCGAACAGAUGAGGAGCUUGCUCCUCUGACGUUAGCGGCGGACGGGUGAGUAACACGUGGAUAACCUACCUAUAAGUCUGGGAUAACUUCGGGAAACCGGAGCUAAUACCGGAUAAUAUAUUGAACCGCAUGGUUCAAUAGUGAAAGACGGUUUUGCUGUCACUUAUAGAUGGAUCCGCGCCGCAUUAGCUAGUUGGUAAGGUAACGGCUUACCAAGGCAACGAUGCGUAGCCGACCUGAGAGGGUGAUCGGCCACACUGGAACUGAGACACGGUCCAGACUCCUACGGGAGGCAGCAGUAGGGAAUCUUCCGCAAUGGGCGAAAGCCUGACGGAGCAACGCCGCGUGAGUGAUGAAGGUCUUCGGAUCGUAAAGCUCUGUUAUUAGGGAAGAACAAAUGUGUAAGUAACUAUGCACGUCUUGACGGUACCUAAUCAGAAAGCCACGGCUAACUACGUG